Molecule: ribosomal RNA, 251 nt
Filed under: uncultured bacterium
Lineage: Bacteria
Description: partial 16S ribosomal RNA
Rfam family: Bacterial small subunit ribosomal RNA
Source: RNAcentral
UACAGAGGGUGCAAGCGUUGUUCGGAAUUAUUGGGCGUAAAGCGCGUGUAGGCGGCUUUGCAAGUCGGGUGUGAAAGCCCUCAGCUCACUGAGGAAGUGCGCCCGAAACUGCAGAGCUUGAGUGCCGGAGAGGGUGGCGGAAUUCCCCAAGUAGAGGUGAAAUUCGUAGAUAUGGGGAGGAACACCGGUGGCGAAGGCGGCCACCUGGACGGUAACUGACGCUGAGACGCGAAAGCGUGGGGAGCAACAGG